This 253-nucleotide ribosomal RNA is filed under the name uncultured bacterium. Its description in RNAcentral is "partial 16S ribosomal RNA". It matches the Rfam family "Bacterial small subunit ribosomal RNA", at positions 524 to 776 of the family's 1533-position model. The record is from RNAcentral.
UACGUAGGUGGCAAGCGUUGUCCGGAUUUACUGGGUGUAAAGGGCGUGCAGCCGGGCUGACAAGUCAGAUGUGAAAUCCCGCGGCUCAACCGCGGAACUGCAUUUGAAACUGUCAGUCUUGAGUACCGGAGAGGUCAUCGGAAUUCCUUGUGUAGCGGUGAAAUGCGUAGAUAUAAGGAAGAACACCAGUGGCGAAGGCGGAUGACUGGACGGCAACUGACGUUGAGGCCCGAAAGCGUGGGGAGCAAACAGG